GCCUCUGGUCAUGUCUUGCCUGCGGCACCGCUCGAUACAUGGUGUCAGAAGUAGGAUCAACGCCGACGUCCAGUCUUGGUGAACCGAAGAUUAUACUACAAGGCCAGCCCCAUGGACUUCCUGAAGCCACCAGGCCCGCUGAGCUCGGCUGGUGAAAUUGCCAAGAACUGGCAGGCAUUCAAGCAAAGGUUCGAAUUUUUCCUCGCCGCGUCAGAACAGCCAACCGGCAAGCCUCGAACGGAAUCAUGCAAGACAGCACUUCUGCUGAGCGUUGCAGGCGAGGAAGCCAUCGAGAUCUUCAACACGUUCAGCUUUGGCAAAGACGAGAGCAGGAAUGACUACGCCACUGUCAUUGCGAAGUUCGAUGCAUAUUGUGCGGCUCAGCAGAACGAAGUCCAUGAGCGCUACGUUUUCCGUACGCGAGUCCAGGCCCCUGGUGAGCUUUUCGAACCUUUCUUACGAGACUUAAAGAACCAGGCACGAGCAUGUAACUUUGGCUCCCAAAUGGACGCAAUGAUUAGGGACCAAAUUGUUUAUGGGACUAACGACGAGAAACUUAGAGAAAGGUUGCUGCGGGACAUUACGCUGAAUUUAGUGAAGGCUGAGCAGGCUGCUAAAGCAGCUGAAGCGACGGCAGCGCAACAAAAAGUUUGGGCACGAGACUAAAGCCACAUUGACGCGAUGCGUAAGGAACACCCAAGUAAACAAAGUGAGUUGCCCAGGCAUUACAAGUGUCCUAAGUACGCACUUAUGCACCCGCCACGAAGGUGUCCUGCAUUCGGGAAAACAUGUCGCAAAUGUCAACGCCCCAACCAUUUCGCUAUCUGCUGCAGACGAUUUGCCGAUAUAGGCGAACUUCAGGGCGGUGAAGAUAACUUUGACAUUCUGGACGUGUCAAGCUGCGCACCAAAGCAACACGACUGGACAGUUGUCGGCCAAAUCAAGAACGUACCACUUGAAUUCAAGGUCGACACAGGAGCGCAAGCAAAUCUACUACCUUUCGGUUGCUACCGUAAAAUUCGCCCGAAACCGCCCCUGAAACCAAGCAGCGCGGUGUUUCGUUCGUAUGGCGGAGGGGUUAUCAAGCAUGAUGGCGUCAUUCGUGCAGAAUUAGCACUAGGUGACCGUUGCGCCGUCCUCGACUUCUUCGGGGUGUCCAAGGGGCAUCAGGCCAUCCUGGGCUUACAGGCUAGCGAAAAUCUUGGACUUGUGUCACGCAUACACGCAGUAUCUCGAAACAGUUCCGAGGAAGUCGCAAGAAACUUUCGCCACUUGUUCACAGGAACCGGGUGCGUUGAAAGGGUCUAUCGAAUGGUUCUACGUGACGACGCCACGCCAAUCGUCCAAGCAGCCCUACGAGUGCCGCUGGCCCUACAGGAACCCUUGCGAGAACUGGGACGUAUGGAGCGCGCGGGCAUCAUAACCAAAGUCGCCGAGCCCACAGACUGGAAGGCCAUUGGCGACAUGCCCCCGAGGUUGCAGCGUUUUUUCUUGCGCCUUCUUCGCUAUGACGUAAAACUUCAGUUCACACCAGGGAAGCAACUGCUUCUCGCUGACAUGCUGUCACGUGCAACAAUCGGACCCAUCACGGGAAACGCUUGCGUGAGCAAGCGCAGCAGAGCAGCGAGCAACGUGGCCUUCGCGCUGUCUAUCGCUUCAACGGAAACUGAGCGCCGGGAACACACAUCAUGCACAAAGCUAAGGGCCGUCGAUGCACCUAGACUCUGCCCCAACAGAUUGCUCUCAAGAUACGGCCGCGCGACUGCGUGCAGCAGCCACAUACGCGGUUGUAGCCGGGGUAGAAGGGCGCACCUCUCCCUCCCCACGUUGCCUCAAAACGUCGGGAGCAUCGUGCGCGACGCAAGACGGCGCGCUUCCUCCCCGCCCUCUUUCGCGCGGGCGAGAUUGAGUCGCGAUCGGCAGCUUCGCUCGCACGCGUUCACACGCACAUGCAUCGUAGGGCGCGCGGCGACGCUGAAAUCGCCCUUGAACUUUAUACAGAACACCAUGGCGACGGCGACGGCAGAAAUGCGUCUGAAGUGUCCAUAUAAUUCCUAUCGCAAUGAAAGUACAAUUUCCCCUAUGCUGCCCUUGGUGUCGUAGUUUGUUGGAUCCUUAUGAUAUGACUAAUAAAGCUUGGGCGUUCGGUUUGUUUUCUUCUGGUCUCGAAUCCCGCAGCAUUGAUGCCUUCA
Non-coding RNA from Dermacentor albipictus, 2192 nucleotides. The record is from RefSeq and is a predicted model, not a curated record. Lineage: Eukaryota; Metazoa; Arthropoda; Arachnida; Ixodida; Ixodidae.